UAUGGCUUUCUAUUCCUAUGUGAGUUCUUUCUAACAUGUCAUGUAGGGUUUAAAGCCAUUGGAU
Acanthochromis polyacanthus (spiny chromis) is the source of this 64-nucleotide microRNA precursor. The record is from Ensembl. Lineage: Eukaryota; Metazoa; Chordata; Actinopteri; Pomacentridae.